AGAAAGAAGGCUUUUUCUGACCAACUCUAGCGACUAACUUCGAGGUUGGUCGCUUAUAGUUGACUUUUUGAGACCACUUUUGAAGUUGGUCGUGAAGUUGGUCGCUUUAUACUAUAGGCGACCAACUUCGCGACCAACUCCGAAGUUGGUCGCCAAUUUGAAGAUGAAAGCGACCAACUUCGCGACCAACUCCGAAGUUGGUCGCCAAUUUGAAGAUGAAAGCGACUAACUUCGCGACCAACUCCGAAGUUGGUCGCCAAUUUGAAGAUGAAAGCGACCAACAGUUUGGUCGCCUGACUCUUUUUUAAUAAAAAUAAAUAAAAUGCAACCAACAUGUUGGUCGCGUACAUAUUUCGUUAAUUUUUUUAAAAAUAAAUUCAAUUUUACUACCAACAUAAAUUUAAAAAAAUAAAAGGCGACCACUUAGUUGGUCGUAUGAUAAUUUUUUAAAAAGACGACCAACCAGUUGGUCCCUUAAAUAUUUCAAAAUUUUAAAAAAAUAUAUCUUCCAAUUUGGCGACCAAAGGUUGGUCGCCUAAAUUAAAAAAUAUAUAUAAAUAAAACAAUGCAACCAACUAAAUUGGUGGCCUGAUUAAAAAAAUUUAAAUUUGAAAAUUAAAAAAUAUGGCGACUGACCAGUUGGUCAUUUAAAUAUUCCGUAUGUUUUUAAAAAAAUUAUAGUUCGCCUGAAUAAAAAAAUUAAAAUUUGAAAAAUAUGGCGACUGACCAGUUGGUCAUUUAAAUAUUCCGUAUGUUUUUAAAAAAAUUAUAAUUCGCCUGAAUAAAAAAAUUAAAAUUUGAAAAAUAUGGCGACUGACCAGUUGGUCAUUUAAAUAUUCCGUAUGUUUUUAAAAAAAUUAUAAUUCGCCUGAAUAAAAAUAUUUCGUAUGUUAAAAAAAAUUCCAAGUCGCGACCAACCUGUUGGUCGCUUACAUAUUUAACGUGAUGGGCUAAGAUAUAUUUAACGUGAUGGGUCGCAGGACCAACUAAAUUCAUUUUCUAAUUAAUUCAUAUAGAAUUAUACCUUAUUAUAAUAUAUACAUAUUACAAUAACGUUUACCCUUUUCCUAUAAAACAAGACACCUUUUUCCUUUCUUUAGUAAAGAAUUUAGCUUAGGAUAUUCUAUAUUUUUUUCUACUUGGAUACAAAUUUUCCGUAUUCAAAAGGAAAUCAUCACAAAAAACAUAUUUUAGAAUGAACUUGUUUUCUAUUUUUAUUUUUGUGUUUGAGUCCACGAGCGGUACUGGUUAUAUAAUACUUCAUUAGAUAAUUGUACAUCUAAGAAUUAGAUGGGCUAAUUUUGUAUAUAUUACAAAUUUUAUAUGUAUUAUAAGUGGUAUUUUUUUUUUAAAUCAAUUUUACUACCAACAUAAAUUUAAAAAAAUAAAAGGCGACCACUCAGUUGGUUGCAUGAUUUUUUUUUUUAAAAGCAACCAACCAGUUGGUCCUUUAAUAUUUCAAAAUUUUAAAAAAAUAUCUUCCAAUUUGGCGACCAAACUGGUUGGUCGCCUAAAUUAAAAAAUAUAUAAAUAAAUAAAACAAUGCGACCAACUAAAUUGGUCUCCUGAUUAAAAAUAUUUAAAUUUGAAAAUUGAAAAAUAUGAAAACCAACUAUUUCGUAAGUUUAAAAAAAAUCAAUUCGUGGUCGCCUGAAUUAAUAUAUAUAUAUAUAAAAUCAAACACAAUGCGACCAAUCUGUGGAUCGUUAAAAAUUAAAUUAAAAGAGAUUAAAAAAAUGAAAAAACAAAACGACCUAACUAAGUUUGUCGCCUGAAUUUAAAAUGAAAUAAAAAAGACAAACAUUAAAUAUUUCAUAAAUUUAAAAAAAAAAAAAAUAUAUUUCAUAAUUUUAAAAAAAAUUAAAUAUUUCUAAUUUUCCUCCCCUUUUCCUUUAGCUUCUAACAAUUAUUUAAAUUUUUUUAUUUUCCCCCUUUAACAUUUCGUUUUCCCCAAUAUUAUUUCCCUCAUUUAUUUUGUUCCCUCCAAUAGUAUUCCCCAAUAUUCUUUCCCCAAUAUUAUUUCCCCAAUCUCAUUUCCCCCCAUCCUCCAAUCUUGUUUCCCCCAUCUCAUUUCCUUCAAUCUUGUUUCCCCCAAUCUCCUUCUCAACAACCAGCGGCGAUUCCAAUGUCACUUGAAUUAGAAAUUUGGUAACACUUCCUUCCAGAGGCGAUUCCAGUGCUACUCGGCCAGUGUCAACUUGCUGCAGCAGUUGACGGAGGUUCUACCCUCUCGCUGUUCAUUUCCCACAGCUACGUAGGUAUGUCUAUUCUUCUUGUCUCCAAAUCUACUUUCUAUUCCAAGUACGUUCUUGGAUUUAGGUUGUUUUCAUAUGUCAAAAUCCAGAAAUUUCAUGUCACAGGACGUUGGUUCCGCAACAAAGAAAAUGAAGAGACACACAAGUGCCAUGCCAUUGAAUGUCGUGUCAUCUGCAGGCAGUGUGCAUGACAGUUUAAAACAGACUAGCAUUGAUACUUCUGAAUUUGAGUCAACUGCAACAUCAAGAAUAAAGAGAGCGAAAAUAGAGGUAUUUAAUUAUCUUUGUAACUUGAUUUGCCAUUGUUCUAUUUCAUGUCUCAGAUUAUUCAAUCAGGUGAACGUAUUCCGAUACACCCUGUGUUGAAUUAUUAACUGAUUUUUUCUUAUGGUCAUCGUAACUAAAAAGUAAAUCUUUUGUUGUCUAGGCUAAUCAUGCUCUUUUGGAGGAGAUCAGAUUCAUUAAUCAGCAGUUAAUUGAUACAUCUGUGGAUGUAACUGAUGAAGAUAUCGAUUCUAUCAGUUCAACAACCGACGGAGAAGGAACAGUUGUUAAGUUUACAUACCUUGCAAUAUCUCUCAGUCCAACAUUAAAGUCGCAGUUUGCUGCAUCCAGAGUGGUGAGAUUUUGACUCCACCAUUUCAGUUAUGGAUCUACAAGUUAAGUUGAUUUGUUUUCAAAGUUGAUUUGUUUGCUGCAGUCCCCCAUCUUACCCUUGCUGUUAUUUAUCCCCCCAAGUUAUCCAUGCUGUUCUCCUGUACUUUUGGAUAAGAUUUCUGUUGAAAUGAGGUGCCAAAAUCUAUUUUUUUUUAUCACUUCCAUGAUUCUUGAACCAAAUUUCCUAUUUGACUCAUUUUUAUUAUUACAAUGUGUGUAUAUAAUAAACAGCAAUGAGUCGGAAGAUCUUUCGGUCAAGGUAAAAUCACUGUUCAGCAGUUCUCUCCGUGGGCUUUCGUCUCCGAUGUGUCUUAAGGAAAUGGCAAGGUCAUGGGAUGUUUGUGUGAGGACAGUCGUGUCAGAAUUUGCCCAAUUGAGUGGUGGAGGAACUUUCAGCUAGUUCCUUAUUAGUUCAUCAUACAUAUAAUUUAGGGUUCUUUAUUUUUCCUUUCCUUUUAGGAUUCCACAUGGGCAUCAUAUGUCAACAGUCUGCCACUCUGUAAUUUCUUUUUGACAGGCUGCUCAGGUGAUAUUUCUUUUUCUUUCUAAUUUGGUUGAUUUUUUUUGCUUCCGUUUUGUUUUUAGAUAUAUUCGAAUUGAUGAUCUUGUUUGUGGGUGUCAAAUCAGUGUUCUCUUUUUCUUAAUUUUGAGUUUUUGGUUGCCUUUGGCUUGUGUACAGUGUUGGAUUUGUUGAUCAGAAUUAGAUAAAUUGCUCAUGAGUUAUAUUGUAAAUGUUUUUUUUUUUGCUUUUCAUUUUUUGUGCAGCGGUCAUGUUUAGAUGAGGUUAAUUACCAAAAUUGACUAUUCUCAAGUUUAUAUAUAUCAGAGUUAAUUGAACUCAUGCAACUCAUAAGGGAUCGAUUUUUCAUACCAUAUUUAAUUUACCUAUUAUUUAUUCAUUUUAAUGCAGAGAUGGGUAUAAUGUGAAUGGCUAUAUCAUGCUUAAGUUUAAUUCAACUAUUAAGUGAUUUACAUUUUUUCCAAGGUGUCCAUCCAAAGAAAAGAAGUGAGUAACUGAACUAAAUCUGAUGAUUAUGCUUGUGAGUUGUAACUUAAAUAAAUGUUGUUUUUGUUUUGUUUUUCGUUAUGUCUAAUUGUUUAUGCAGGGUGGAUUUAUCCGUCGGAAUUUAUUCAAAAUUCUAAAACACGAAAAGGAUGUAUGCAUUUUUCAAAUCGUCUUUUGGAUGCAAUAGCAAGUCAUUGUGUCCCAUAUGAAGAUGUUCUUGAUGAGAUUGAGCUCCCAUAUGAAGAUGUUCUUGAUUACUUAGAAUUUUGUAUGUUAAUUCGUCGGCACAUCUGAUUCUCUCAAAAAGGGUUUCUUGGUCCAUUUGGUUGUUCCCUCUAGAUUUUUGGUUUAAUCUUAAAUCCGUGUAAAAAAAUUAAUUUUUUCGAGAAUAACCCUCUAACUUUAAUUAAAUUACACCUAUAAAAUUUGUAAUAUAAAAUUUCAAAAGUUUUCAAAAAAUCGACUGAUUUGAUGUGUCAAAAAACCGACUUUAAUUUCAUUUUUUUUGAAUUAAACCAAAAGUAAUUCCUACACUCUAUUAAAAUACCUAUAAAAUUAAACAAAUACCUAAAACAUCUAUAAAAUUGCAAACCCUAUAAUUGUAACAAGAUGUGAGGUCGAGAUUGGCCGACCGCUAGAUAAUAACUUGCCACGGUCGCACCUGAUUCGUUUUGUAUAUAUAUAUAUAUUGGGUUAGGAUUUAGGAAUAUGAUUAUAUUUUUUAUAUAAAUUAAGAUUUUCCAAAAAUUAUUUUGAUAUAUUGUAUAAUUACGUAGAUGUAGAUAGUUAUGUUUUAUUUUAUGGUUGGAUUUAAAUCAAAUAUACCUAAAUUUUUAAUAGUUAAAUUAACCAAUACAUUUUUAGACUUGAGCCAUUUGAAAAACUUAAAUCUUUUUUUAUAUUAAUUAAACCAAUUAGAAAAAAAAUCAAAUUAAAAUAAAUUUUUUAUCCAAGUGUAAGGCGAAUUCUAUUAAUAUUUAAUUUAAUUAUCAAAAAAUAAUUAAAUAAUAUCAUAAUUAGUUUUUACACAAAGAAAAUUAUUUAAUAUCAUAAUUAAAUAAUAUCAUAACCUAACCCUAAUUCACUAAUACACAGAAAUUAGUUCAAUAUAUUGGUCAAAAGAUUAGAUUUCAUUGAUAAUGAAUGAUCUUAGGGUUAGGUUAGGAUUAGGUUUAGUGUUUGAAUUGCCUGAAUAUUUAAAAUUCAGAUUGGGUCAAGAUUAACCCGAAUCAUGUCAAUACUUAAUUACACUAUUAUGCAUAUAUAUUUAAAUCAAUAAAAUAUAAUUUUUAUAAUAUGUUCUAUUUUUAUGUCUAUAUAUAUAAUUAAAUAUAUAAAUUUUAUGAUAUAGUCCGUAUACUAAAAAAAAAAAGUAGACAGUUUAAGCGAAAUAAAGUAAAUGUAAUUUCCAGUAAAAACACUUAUAAUCUAAGUUAACAGAAUUUUCGUUAAAUUUAAUAAAUUCCAUUAGAAAAUUUAACGGAUUUUAAAUUAUUUGUAUGAGAAUAUCGGUUACAAAUAAAUAAUAAAAAAUUAUUUUUCAUUUUUCAAUAUCCCUCUUACAAAAUAGUAACCAAUUUUAUAAUAUGUUUUAUUUGUUGUCAACUAUAUAUAUAAUUAAAUGUUAAAAUUUUAUAAUAUAAUCCAUAAUUACUAAUUAGGUUUUUUAAAUUUAACCAACAUAAAAAAAACUAAAUAUUAAUGAAAUUGAUUUUAAAAUUUUAUUAUAAUGAAAUAAAAUUAUAAUAUAAAACAUAAAAAUUAAAAAAAAAAUCUUAAAAUAAUAAUAUAAUUAAUGUAAAAAUUAAAAAAUAAUAAUGAAUUAUAUAAAAUGAUGAUUUUGCGAUUUCAGAACCGACGAGGUUGAAUAUAUAUUUCAAAUUUGGCGAUUCGUGACAUCCUAUAUUAUUUAUAAUCCAAAAUAAUUAUAAUUUUUUGAUUAAGGUGUAAAUUUAUAUUAAAAAAUACAUGAGAUAAAUACCUUAAAAUAUUAUAUAUUAUUUAGAGAUCGAUAAUAUAUUUUUAAAGAUAAUAUAUAUAAUUAUUUUAGAGAUCGAUAAUAUAUUUUUAAAGAUAAUAUAUAUAAUUAUUUUAGAGAUAAUAUAUUUUUUAUAGAAAAUAUAUUUGUUAAAUAAUAAUUAUUAUAUUUAUAAAAUAAUUAAAUUUUAUAAAAAUUAAUUUUAUUUAAAAAUUAAAUUUAAAAAAUAUAUGAGAUAAAUACCUUAAAAUAUUAUAUAUUAUCUAGAGAUCGAUAAUAUAUUUUUAAAGAUAAUAUAUAUUAUUAUUUUAGAGAUAAUAUGCUUUUUAUAGAAAAUAUAUUUGUUAAAUAAUUAUUAUUAUAUUUAUAAAAUAAUUAAAUUUUAUUUAAAAAUUAUAUUUCAAUAUUUCCACUUUUUCCACUUCUUUUCUACUUUUCCCACUUCUUUUACUUCUAAUUUUCAUUUCUAACUACUUAAAAAAAAAGCUUCUCCAACUUCCAACUUCGGACAUUUCUUUCGACCUCUCUUACGACAUCUCUUCCGACUACCUCAAUUUCCUCCCUCCAACAAGGUAAACAUUUUUAUUCCUAUUCUAGUUCCGGCGAGUUCGAACCGACCUUGCCGGGGGGUGCUGGGCGAGUUCCCAGCUCCCAUGCGUUGUCCAUAGGAUGACGCAAUAUCAAAUUUCCAGCCUCGUCGGUGGGUGCUGGGCGAGUUCCCAGCACCCAUGCGUCGUCCUGUGGAAAAUGAAAGAAAGACUCUCUCUCUAACUAUAUAUUCAUAUUCCGGGAGAAGAGAAUCGUUGGUUUGUUUGACCGACGAACUAUGUGUAUGUGGGAAAAUCGAAGAGAAGAGCAACCAUAGGUAGAGAGCGGCUCAUGUUCCUAUGACUAUAGUAGCAGGUGAAAAAAAAGCAGCUAGUAACCGUUAAAUAUAGAAUCCAGCCAACUUCCUACCAAAUGCGC
Molecule: long non-coding RNA, 6862 nt
Filed under: Zostera marina
Lineage: Eukaryota; Viridiplantae; Streptophyta; Magnoliopsida; Alismatales; Zosteraceae
Description: long non-coding RNA (ZMAR_LNC004195)
Source: RNAcentral